UACGUAGGUGACCAGCGUUGUCCGGAUUUACUGGGCGUAGAGAGCGCGCAGGCGGUCGUUCAAGUCGAGUGUGAAAGCCCCCGGCUCAACUGGGGAGGGGCAUUCGAUACUGAUCGACUGGAAGGCAGGAGAGGGAAGCGGAAUUCCCGGUGUAGUGGUGAAAUGCGUAGAUAUCGGGAGGAACACCAGUGGCGAAGGCGGCUCACUGGCCCGGUACUGACGCUGAGGUGCGAAAGCGUGGGGAGCAAACAGG
RNAcentral lists this ribosomal RNA (253 nucleotides) under uncultured bacterium. Its description in RNAcentral is "partial 16S ribosomal RNA". It matches the Rfam family "Bacterial small subunit ribosomal RNA", at positions 524 to 776 of the family's 1533-position model. The record is from RNAcentral.